CAGUUUUUCAUUUUGGGGCAAGCCUGGACAAGUCUGAAGCCCUGUCCUUGAGCUGCUGUGGAGGCUGGCUGGUCUAGAAUGGACUGAAGGUCAGUGCUUGCUCAAUGGCCCAGGCUUGGUGUGUCCUAUCUCCCUUAUCUCUGUGGUAAGGGGCAGCAGAGAUUAAUUCCCCUUUAUUUGUGACUCCUUCAGAAACUGCUUGUGUUAGAAAAUGGAAAUUGAGGCCUGAUCUCUGAGAGAAGACCAAGCCAAGCAGCCUGUUAUGGCAUCUGCUUCAUUUUCUCAAACAUCAGGUGCAGAGCAAAGGAACUCAGUAAUGCUGUGUUUCUCAAGGAGGCAGGAGUGUAAUUGGGAGGGCAAAGCAUUGUGUACACCUGUUACUCAGACUACUAUGUAGUCAUCAAUGAUCGGGAGAUAGUUGAGGGUCUGGAGCUGCAAGAAGGACCUGAAGGGUGACUUGGAAGUGGAAGGUUAAGGUCAACGGUUAGAAUGUUUCAAGAGAAGCACCUGAACCUGCAAAUGCCGUGGAGACUGAGGCUUCCCAACAGGAGAGGAGGCAAGGUAAAAGGAUGCACUUCAGGCUACAACAGAGGAAGAAGCUGACAAGAGAAUGGCCACCACUUUGGCAGAGGAGAUCUGAUUGGAAGUUUCUGGUGUGGCUCUGUGCUGGUCGUGUCAGUCUUGACCCCAAAGAGGAUGAUUCGCACAGGGAGUGGAGUUUACUUCUGUGCCCAUUCAGUCCCUGUCUUCUGCGAGAGCUGGCAAACACUAUAGUGACUAUUGUGUAAGGAGCAACUGUCUCUACAAUUGGAAUGAGACCACAAACUUCUUUUACACAAGACACCAAACACCAACAAUGGUUUCCUGCAGCCCCAGACCUUACACAGAGCUCAAAUGGUGGCUCAAAUGACAAAAAUAUUAUACCAACAAUCUUUUUCUUUUACAGAUAUGUUUUCUUUCAUAUUACAAUACUAUUUGAAUUCUUCAUAAUCACAUGAUUCAAACCAGCAUUCUGUUUAUGGCCCAUUUGUGUAGCACAUUAAUAAAUCAAAUAUAAAUAAAUAACAA
Long non-coding RNA from Mesocricetus auratus (golden hamster), 1068 nucleotides. RefSeq lists it as uncharacterized. The transcript is spliced from 2 exons. The record is from RefSeq and is a predicted model, not a curated record. NCBI's taxonomy places the organism in Eukaryota, Metazoa, Chordata, Mammalia, Rodentia, Cricetidae.